UACGAAGGGGGCUAGCGUUGCUCGGAAUCACUGGGCGUAAAGGGUGCGUAGGCGGGUCUUUAAGUCAGGGGUGAAAUCCUGGAGCUCAACUCCAGAACUGCCUUUGAUACUGAGGAUCCUGAGUUCGGGAGAGGUGAGUGGAACUGCGAGUGUAGAGGUGAAAUUCGUAGAUAUUCGCAAGAACACCAGUGGCGAAGGCGGCUCACUGGCCCGAUACUGACGCUGAGGCACGAAAGCGUGGGGAGCAAACAGG
RNAcentral lists this ribosomal RNA (253 nucleotides) under uncultured bacterium. RNAcentral's name for it is "partial 16S ribosomal RNA". It matches the Rfam family "Bacterial small subunit ribosomal RNA", at positions 524 to 776 of the family's 1533-position model. The record is from RNAcentral.